AUUGAACGCUGGCGGCAUGCCUUACACAUGCAAGUCGAACGGCAGCGCGGGAGCAAUCCUGGCGGCGAGUGGCGAACGGGUGAGUAAUAUAUCGGAACGUGCCCUGUAGCGGGGGAUAACCUAUCGAAAGAUGGACUAAUACCGCAUACGCCCUACGGAGGAAAGACGGGGGUCGCAAGACCUCGCACUAUAGGAGCGGCCGAUAUCGGAUUAGCUAGUUGGCGGGGUAAAAGCCCACCAAGGCGACGAUCCGUAGCUGGUCUGAGAGGAUGAUCAGCCACACUGGAACUGAGACACGGUCCAGACUCCUACGGGAGGCAGCAGUGGGGAAUUUUGGACAAUGGGCGCAAGCCUGAUCCAGCCAUGCCGCGUGAGUGAAGAAGGCC
This 386-nucleotide ribosomal RNA is filed under the name uncultured bacterium. Its description in RNAcentral is "bacterial SSU rRNA". It matches the Rfam family "Bacterial small subunit ribosomal RNA", at positions 29 to 416 of the family's 1533-position model. The record is from RNAcentral.